RNAcentral lists this long non-coding RNA (203 nucleotides) under Elaeis guineensis (African oil palm). Its description in RNAcentral is "long non-coding RNA (EGUI_LNC000844)". Lineage: Eukaryota; Viridiplantae; Streptophyta; Magnoliopsida; Arecales; Arecaceae. The record is from RNAcentral.
GUCAUGCAGGAUUCUUGGACUGGAAUGGAAACACACUAAGUAUAGUUUAGCUGUGAGGAUGUUUUUUUACUAGUGUCAUCUCAUGCAUGCUGCUGUCAUGGGCCAUCAUCAUGAUUUAUUUGCAAACAGUUUUUAGAAUAGGGAAAAUCUCAUUCAAAUAUAUUUGAUGGUACUGGCAGCAAUUGGCUCCUAAAGAUACCCCA